AUAUAUAUACUUGCAAUAGACAUUUAUCACUUGAAGGUCAUGUUGAGGUUCUGAAGAAUUAUGUCGAAUGCUAGAAUGGAAGAUUACCAAAUUGUUUUUGUGCAUUUUCUAUUAUCAGCUUCAAAAAGCCAAUGAAGAAGCAGAGGAAGCAUACAAUUCAAUUUCAAGAAGCUGCAAAGAAAGAGAUGAUCCGUUACAACAGGCAAAGGGUGUUGAGCCUGCAAGCAAGUCUUAUCCAGUACGCUGAAUCGCGGUGAAAGAAUGGACGAGAGACGUACGCCAUAUUAGCCAAACUACUGAAUGACAUGAAAAAAUCUGCGUAAUUAAGAAGCAUGAAGAAAAUAGACGGCUCCAUGAAUUUAGGUGGCCAAAAUUUAUGGCUCACUUUCUGUAUAACGUUAGAUUAUUUCAAUUUAAGGCUGAUAAGACAAAAAUAAUUCUUUAAAACGAGACCAGGGAGUUUCAGGCAUUGGCCUGUUCCAGGUAUUCAGUUGGUAAAAUGGAGCGAAGAUUGGGACUGAAAAGUGAAAAAGAGAGGGAGGCCUGGGUCGGGUUCAUUAAGCGACUCGACCCCAACCUCCCUCGCUUUUUCACUCCUCUGCUUUAAGAGCGCUGUUUACUAUUAUGCUUCCUUUUACAAACUGAUAGUCCGGAACAGGUUAUUCAGGCAGAAAUUGGCCAGAACUGGUGACAAAAAUUUGGCAAUGAUCAGGAAAUUAAUCAGCAAAUAUUUCGUAGCAGGUAUGAAUUUCUCAACUUUGUUAAGGAUACCAACCUUGAAUCAAGGCUCCAGAAGAUUUAUUAAAUACUUUUCACGGUGAAUUUUUCACCUUUAUGUUUUUUCAUGCAGAUCACAUUAAAACUGAAAAGUAAAUUUAAUUCUCUACCUCCUCCUGUAAAAGGAUAUUUUUAUCGAUUCUAAAUGAAUGAUUUUCAGAUGUGCAAUGUUUUCUAUGUACUCUCGGACUAACUGACCCCAUUAAAAAAAGAAAAAAAUA
This is a long non-coding RNA of Stylophora pistillata, 998 nucleotides long. NCBI's taxonomy places the organism in Eukaryota, Metazoa, Cnidaria, Anthozoa, Scleractinia, Pocilloporidae. The record is from RefSeq and is a predicted model, not a curated record.